ACCAAGGAGUUUAUCGUGUGCGCGAGUCAUUGGGCGUUGAAAACCCAAAGGCGCAAUGAAAGUGAACGUUUCCAUAUCGGAGCCAACGUGCGAUCCUGGUCACCACGGUGGCUAGGCGCAGCAUGGCCCCAUCCCGACUGCUUGCAGUGGGGUGGAGGAAGAGCGUACGCGAUGAGACCCGAAAGAUGGUGAACUAUUCCUGAGCAGGACGAAGCCAGAGGAAACUCUGGUGGAAGUCCGAAGCGAUUCUGACGUGCAAAUCGAUCGUCUGACUUGGG
RNAcentral lists this ribosomal RNA (278 nucleotides) under Pratylenchus jaehni. RNAcentral's name for it is "partial 28S ribosomal RNA". It matches the Rfam family "Eukaryotic large subunit ribosomal RNA", at positions 665 to 915 of the family's 3401-position model. The record is from RNAcentral. Lineage: Eukaryota; Metazoa; Nematoda; Chromadorea; Rhabditida; Pratylenchidae.